This is a long non-coding RNA of Oncorhynchus tshawytscha (Chinook salmon), 319 nucleotides long. The record is from Ensembl. NCBI's taxonomy places the organism in Eukaryota, Metazoa, Chordata, Actinopteri, Salmoniformes, Salmonidae.
GUUGGGGAACGCUGUCAGCAUGGCCCUUUAAACAGAGGGGUUGGGGAACGCUGUCAGCAUGGCCCUUUAAACAGAGGGGUUGGGGAACGCUGUCAGCAUGGCCCUUUAAACAGAGGUGUUGGGGAACGCUGUCAGCAUGGCCCUUUAAACAGAGGUGUUGGGGAACGCUGUCAGCAUGGCCCUUUAAACAGAGGUGUUGGGGAACGCUGUCAGCAUGGCCCUUUAAACAGAGGGGUUGGGGAACGCUGUCAGCAUGGCCCUUUAAACAGAGGGGUUGGGGAACGCUGUCAGCAUGGCCCUUUAAACAGAGAGGUUGGGG